Molecule: unclassified non-coding RNA, 904 nt
Filed under: Hevea brasiliensis (rubber tree)
Lineage: Eukaryota; Viridiplantae; Streptophyta; Magnoliopsida; Malpighiales; Euphorbiaceae
Source: RNAcentral
GUGGAAACAAAAGUUACCUGAAGAAGAUAACCAAUAUACAUAAAUAUAGUUAGUUAUAUAAGAGAAUUUUCUGCAUUAUGGAAUCACUUUUAUUAGCUAUUCUGUCCUCCAAUGUCAUUAUCUCAGUGCAUCAUCCCAAAAUAGUGAACCUGCUACUUUCUGUUGGUCAGCAGCUUGAAGUGGUUGGGAACGCCGGGUUCGAUUAAUGACAGUGAUUGGUCUACCAGACACAAGUCCAAUUGUGCAAAAUUUGAGCUAGUAAGCAUUCAUCUCAUUUCCAUGCUUCCAAUGGAGCGGAAGAAAUGAGACAUUUUAGGAGUUUCUCCACCUUAAAAUCAAGUAAAACAAAGUGCGCGUUUGGCGGCUUCAAGGGUGUUCAGAAGAAGCAUUGCAACUGUCAUGGGACCUACACCUCCAGGCACUGGGGUUACAGCAGAAGCGAUCCUGACUGCUUCUUCAAAGCAAACAUCACCAAUCAAACGGUAACCAUGUUCGCUCUCAGGGUCCACAAUUGGGUUUAUUCCUACGUCAAGUACAACUGCUCCGGGCUUUAACCAGCUACCACGGACUAAAUUAGGUACUCCAGCAGCUGCCACAAGUAUAUCAGCUUCACGAGUAAUAAUUUCUGGAUUCUCUGAAUAUGCAUGAACAAUGCUUACUGUUGCAUGGUGCCUCUGCAACAACAAAAAAGUAGGUAAUCCAACGAUGUUGCUCCUCCCAAUCACUACAGCUCUCUUCCCAACGAUUUCAACAUCAGAACUUAGCAGUAACUCGAUGCAGCCUUUAGCAGUGCACGGGAUGAACAAUGGCUCUCUACCCUGAAUGGCCAAGUUCCCAAUGUUUAAUGGAUGAAAUCCGUCCACAUCUUUUUCUAAGCUUAGUACAUUUAAAAUCUUUCCCUCAU